UACGAAGGGGGCUAGCGUUGCUCGGAAUUACUGGGCGUAAAGCGCACGUAGGCGGCUUUCUAAGUCGGGGGUGAAAUCCUGGAGCUCAACUCCAGAACUGCCUUCGAUACUGGAGAGCUCGAGUCCGGGAGAGGUGAGUGGAACUGCGAGUGUAGAGGUGAAAUUCGUAGAUAUUCGCAAGAACACCAGUGGCGGAGGCGGCUCACUGGCCCGGUACUGACGCUGAGGUGCGAAAGCGUGGGGAGCAAACAGG
This 253-nucleotide ribosomal RNA is filed under the name uncultured bacterium. RNAcentral's name for it is "partial 16S ribosomal RNA". It matches the Rfam family "Bacterial small subunit ribosomal RNA", at positions 524 to 776 of the family's 1533-position model. The record is from RNAcentral.